This 253-nucleotide ribosomal RNA is filed under the name uncultured bacterium. Its description in RNAcentral is "partial 16S ribosomal RNA". It matches the Rfam family "Bacterial small subunit ribosomal RNA", at positions 524 to 776 of the family's 1533-position model. The record is from RNAcentral.
GACGAACCGUGCGAACGUUAUUCGGAAUCACUGGGCUUAAAGGGCGCGUAGGCGGGUCAUCAAGUCCGGGGUGAAAGCCCACGGCCCAACCGUGGAAGUGCCUUGGAUACUGAAGACCUCGAGGGGGAUAGGGGCGUGCGGAACUCAGGGUGGAGCGGUGAAAUGCGUAGAUAUCCUGAGGAACACCGGUGGCGAAAGCGGCGCGCUGGAUCCCUUCUGACGCUGAGGUGCGAAAGCGUGGGGAGCAAACAGG